This 23-nucleotide ribosomal RNA is filed under the name Reinia hungerfordiana hungerfordiana. Its description in RNAcentral is "partial 5.8S rRNA". The record is from RNAcentral. Lineage: Eukaryota; Metazoa; Mollusca; Gastropoda; Stylommatophora; Clausiliidae.
GACCGAAAAACAAAUGAAAAAUG